RNAcentral lists this ribosomal RNA (3065 nucleotides) under Salmonella enterica subsp. enterica serovar Enteritidis str. EC20090135. RNAcentral's name for it is "23S ribosomal RNA". It matches the Rfam family "Bacterial large subunit ribosomal RNA". Lineage: Bacteria; Pseudomonadati; Pseudomonadota; Gammaproteobacteria; Enterobacterales; Enterobacteriaceae. The record is from RNAcentral.
GGGUUGUGAGGUUAAGCGACUAAGCGUACACGGUGGAUGCCCUGGCAGUCAGAGGCGAUGAAGGGCGUACUAAUCUGCGAUAAGCGCCGGUAAGGUGAUAUGAACCGUUAUAACCGGCGAUACCCGAAUGGGGAAACCCAGUGUGAUUCGUCACACUAUCAUUAACUGAAUCCAUAGGUUAAUGAGGCGAACCGGGGGAACUGAAACAUCUAAGUACCCCGAGGAAAAGAAAUCAACCGAGAUUCCCCCAGUAGCGGCGAGCGAACGGGGAGGAGCCCAGAGCCUGAAUCAGCAUGUGUGUUAGUGGAAGCGUCUGGAAAGGCGCGCGAUACAGGGUGACAGCCCCGUACACAAAAGCGCAUGUGCUGUGAGCUCGAUGAGUAGGGCGGGACACGUGGUAUCCUGUCUGAAUAUGGGGGGACCAUCCUCCAAGGCUAAAUACUCCUGACUGACCGAUAGUGAACCAGUACCGUGAGGGAAAGGCGAAAAGAACCCCGGCGAGGGGAGUGAAAAAGAACCUGAAACCGUGUACGUACAAGCAGUGGGAGCCCCACCACCAAAGCAUUUGCUGUACCGCGUUGACGGAGCGAAGCGACGUCAAACCGNNNNNNNNNNNNNNNNNNNNNNNNNNNNNNNNNNNNNNNNNNNNNNNNNNNNNNNNNNNNNNNNNNNNNNNNNNNNNNNNNNNNNNNNNNNNGGUGUGACUGCGUACCUUUUGUAUAAUGGGUCAGCGACUUAUAUUCUGUAGCAAGGUUAACCGAAUAGGGGAGCCGGAGGGAAACCGAGUCUUAAUUGGGCGUUAAGUUGCAGGGUAUAGACCCGAAACCCGGUGAUCUAGCCAUGGGCAGGUUGAAGGUUGGGUAACACUAACUGGAGGACCGAACCGACUAAUGUUGAAAAAUUAGCGGAUGACCUGUGGCUGGGGGUGAAAGGCCAAUCAAACCGGGAGAUAGCUGGUUCUCCCCGAAAGCUAUUUAGGUAGCGCCUCGUGAAUUCAUCUCCGGGGGUAGAGCACUGUUUCGGCUAGGGGGCCAUCCCGGCUUACCAACCCGAUGCAAACUGCGAAUACCGGAGAAUGUUAUCACGGGAGACACACGGCGGGUGCUAACGUCCGUCGUGAAGAGGGAAACAACCCAGACCGCCAGCUAAGGUCCCAAAGUCAUGGUUAAGUGGGAAACGAUGUGGGAAGGCCCAGACAGCCAGGAUGUUGGCUUAGAAGCAGCCAUCAUUUAAAGAAAGCGUAAUAGCUCACUGGUCGAGUCGGCCUGCGCGGAAGAUGUAACGGGGCUAAACCAUGCACCGAAGCUGCGGCAGCGACACUGUGUGUUGUUGGGUAGGGGAGCGUUCUGUAAGCCUGCGAAGGUGGCCUGUGAGGGUUGCUGGAGGUAUCAGAAGUGCGAAUGCUGACAUAAGUAACGAUAAAGCGGGUGAAAAGCCCGCUCGCCGGAAGACCAAGGGUUCCUGUCCAACGUUAAUCGGGGCAGGGUGAGUCGACCCCUAAGGCGAGGCCGAAAGGCGUAGUCGAUGGGAAACGGGUUAAUAUUCCCGUACUUGGUGUUACUGCGAAGGGGGGACGGAGAAGGCUAUGUUGGCCGGGCGACGGUUGUCCCGGUUUAAGCGUGUAGGUGUGUGUUCCAGGUAAAUCCGGUUCACUUUAACACUGAGGCGUGACGACGAGGCACUACGGUGCUGAAGCAACAAAUGCCCUGCUUCCAGGAAAAGCCUCUAAGCAUCAGGUAACAUCAAAUCGUACCCCAAACCGACACAGGUGGUCAGGUAGAGAAUACCAAGGCGCUUGAGAGAACUCGGGUGAAGGAACUAGGCAAAAUGGUGCCGUAACUUCGGGAGAAGGCACGCUGACACGUAGGUGAAGUGAUUUACUCAUGGAGCUGAAGUCAGUCGAAGAUACCAGCUGGCUGCAACUGUUUAUUAAAAACACAGCACUGUGCAAACACGAAAGUGGACGUAUACGGUGUGACGCCUGCCCGGUGCCGGAAGGUUAAUUGAUGGGGUCAGCGCAAGCGAAGCUCCUGAUCGAAGCCCCGGUAAACGGCGGCCGUAACUAUAACGGUCCUAAGGUAGCGAAAUUCCUUGUCGGGUAAGUUCCGACCUGCACGAAUGGCGUAAUGAUGGCCAGGCUGUCUCCACCCGAGACUCAGUGAAAUUGAACUCGCUGUGAAGAUGCAGUGUACCCGCGGCAAGACGGAAAGACCCCGUGAACCUUUACUAUAGCUUGACACUGAACAUUGAGCCUUGAUGUGUAGGAUAGGUGGGAGGCUUUGAAGUGUGGACGCCAGUCUGCAUGGAGCCGACCUUGAAAUACCACCCUUUAAUGUUUGAUGUUCUAACGUGGACCCGUUACCCGGGUUGCGGACAGUGUCUGGUGGGUAGUUUGACUGGGGCGGUCUCCUCCUAAAGAGUAACGGAGGAGCACGAAGGUUGGCUAAUCCUGGUCGGACAUCAGGAGGUUAGUGCAAUGGCAUAAGCCAGCUUGACUGCGAGCGUGACGGCGCGAGCAGGUGCGAAAGCAGGUCAUAGUGAUCCGGUGGUUCUGAAUGGAAGGGCCAUCGCUCAACGGAUAAAAGGUACUCCGGGGAUAACAGGCUGAUACCGCCCAAGAGUUCAUAUCGACGGCGGUGUUUGGCACCUCGAUGUCGGCUCAUCACAUCCUGGGGCUGAAGUAGGUCCCAAGGGUAUGGCUGUUCGCCAUUUAAAGUGGUACGCGAGCUGGGUUUAGAACGUCGUGAGACAGUUCGGUCCCUAUCUGCCGUGGGCGCUGGAGAACUGAGGGGGGCUGCUCCUAGUACGAGAGGACCGGAGUGGACGCAUCACUGGUGUUCGGGUUGUCAUGCCAAUGGCACUGCCCGGUAGCUAAAUGCGGAAGAGAUAAGUGCUGAAAGCAUCUAAGCACGAAACUUGCCCCGAGAUGAGUUCUCCCUGAGACUUAAAGUCUCCUGAAGGAACGUUGAAGACGACGACGUUGAUAGGCCGGGUGUGUAAGCGCAGCGAUGCGUUGAGCUAACCGGUACUAAUGAACCGUGAGGCUUAACCUUACAACGCCGAAG